AGCAAUUUUUUCUUCUUUAUUUUUGUUAAAUAAGAUUCCAGAAAGUAUAGUGCAAACACUCAGUAGAAAAGUUGCAAUUAAGAAAUGUACAUUCACAUUUAACAUUUCAGUCCAUUCACUGGUUUUUGCUUUUUAAAUAAAAAUAGGACAAAUUAUUCAAUUACUUGUCUCAAUUUAACAAUCUUGGAAAAGACUGGAAGGUGCUCUACAGUGUUCAGUUGACGUAAAAAUAGACCCGUAUUGAUUAUACAAAUCUAUCACGAGAGGUUCCCCAGUGAUAUUGAGUUGGUGUCCUUCUGGAACAGACAUCUGGUUUCCGCGUCUAAAGAAGCACUCUCAGCAAGGUCUACUGAUGGGAGAACGUGUCACCCAGGCCCACUCUGUGCUCCCAGGCGGGACACGGAGGGACACAGGGGUUCACACAAACCCUUCUCAGACAAUCAAGAAAGUCCAAGCGGGGGCUUUGGGUUUACCUUAAAUGAGAGAUGGUUGUAAUUGUUACAUUAUCUCUGCUUGUGCAAGGCGGUGUGCAAUCAGUGUGAAGGAGAGAUGGAGGAAGGGGGCGGGGCUCUGCAGGUGUGCAGGAGAUGCAAGGCUCAGGGUCCAGGAUCCGCCGUGGCGGGACGCUCUGCGGCCAGCCGGCAGACGACCCGUGGUGGCCUGGGCCUGUCCCUUUGCACAUGCUGCAUGUGUUGGAAUCCAAACGAAGUUUCACACACUUGGGAAUCUCACAGCAUGCGAUGCUGAGUGCGUGUGGCUUGCGGGGCCGCAGUUUCCAACGGGGAGAAAGGCAGGACUGCAAGCCUCUCUGGGGCUGAUGCCCGGGGAGCGCCCUACGGGCAGGUGCAAGAGGCCGUGGAGGCUUCCUCGGGACUCCCGGAACGUGGGAGUGGUCCCCUGAGACUGAGAUCUGCCCCUGGGUGUCCUCCUGUCCCCAGGAAGGGACACUACACCACGUGAUGAGGACAUUGGCCGGCUCUGGCCAGGAGUUGGGGGCUGGCUUGGCUCCUUGUGAGGGGAGAGGCGUGUGCAGCUUGGGGGUUCCAGGGGGCCUGGCUCUCCCCCUGGCUGAUGUCAGAGAGGCCUUACAGGAAGAGACAGGACGACUGUGCUCCUGGCCGAGGGAGAGGCUGUUUACUAAGACACGAUGGCAGGUGGUACUGCGGACAUGGCUUCAGGACAGAAAGUGUAACAAGACAGGGCGAGGUGGGCUCCUUUGGGCCCCCACUGUGUCUCUGCUGGGGAUCAGCUGUUCAAGCAGAGGCAGGGCUCAGCCGCGAGCACAUGCCCUGUUCUCAUCUCGCCACGUGAGGCCUGGGUGAGGAUGACCUUGUGCCUGGGCACAUCCCUGGAUGGGCUGUGGGGCAAACCCCCGGCCUGAGGACCCACCUGGCUGCUCAGAACCAACCUGCCAGGCACCCCCGCCACUUGUGCGUGCACGGGCUAAGGGCUCCAUCAAAACCAACACUUCACUGAGUUCAUGGUUAGCUACGAGGCGCCCAAGAGAACGGACACCCAGGGGCUUGGGAUGGAUGGGACCCGGAUGCCUCCUGGUCCUGCGCUCAGUGCUGUGCAACUUUGUCCAAGUCUGUCACCUCUCUGAGCCUCUGAUUCCUCACGGACAACGUGGGGCGUGUAAGCAGGCCUCCCUCUGCAGACUGUCUGGAGGAGAGCGGGCUCGAGGCCGGGAAGGCGCUCCUUGCGGUCACAGGCAAAGCCCAUCAGAGUCAUCUGCUCACCAAAGCCCCCACGGGCCUCCCCUGCGC
RNAcentral lists this long non-coding RNA (1766 nucleotides) under Sus scrofa (pig). Its description in RNAcentral is "lncRNA (ENSSSCG00025007657.1)". Lineage: Eukaryota; Metazoa; Chordata; Mammalia; Artiodactyla; Suidae. The record is from RNAcentral.